AAAGCAGGCCGUUCUAUCGCUCCUUCGGGGGAGGAAAGUCCGGACAACAAAGAGCAACGUACUUCUGAAAGAGAAGAUAUCCGUGAGGGUAUAGCAGUGCAACAGAAAAUAACCGCUUUGCUUGUCAAAGUAAGGGUGAAAAGGUGGAGUAAGAGCCUACCAGUGUUGCAGGCGACUGUAACAGCUGUGUGCCUUACGUGUUGCAAGACCAUGUAUACCGACGCAUUAGGGCUGCUCGCUUUAUGUCGGGGGGUAGGUCGCAUUAGAUAAAUGAUAGAAGCCUUUAGGAACAGAAUCCGGCUUACAGGCCUGCUUUUUUU
RNAcentral lists this RNase P RNA (320 nucleotides) under Marinilabiliales bacterium. RNAcentral's name for it is "RNase P RNA component class A". It matches the Rfam family "Bacterial RNase P class A". Rfam says of the family: Ribonuclease P (RNase P) is a ubiquitous endoribonuclease, found in archaea, bacteria and eukarya as well as chloroplasts and mitochondria. Its best characterised activity is the generation of mature 5'-ends of tRNAs by cleaving the 5'-leader elements of precursor-tRNAs. Cellular RNase Ps are ribonucleoproteins. Lineage: Bacteria; Pseudomonadati; Bacteroidota; Bacteroidia; Marinilabiliales. The record is from RNAcentral.